This is a long non-coding RNA of Helianthus annuus (common sunflower), 798 nucleotides long. RefSeq lists it as uncharacterized. The record is from RefSeq and is a predicted model, not a curated record. The transcript has 3 exons. NCBI's taxonomy places the organism in Eukaryota, Viridiplantae, Streptophyta, Magnoliopsida, Asterales, Asteraceae.
UCCAUUUAUAUCACUUAUUGGAUCAUAAAAAAUAUCCACCAAUCCAUUACUUAAUCCAAUGGAUCAAUCCAUUUAUCCAAUUAAUUAUAUGGAUCGAUCCAUGAUCCAUCCGGAUCGAUCCAUUACUAAUUAAAAGAAAAGGAGAAACGAACUGCACUCUCUCAAAAUAGCAUUUAGGGUUUCAUCUUGUCUGCAAUCGUCCUUCUCUCAACCUGCAAUCGUUGAUCUCACAACCUGCAAUCGUCGAUCACUCAACCUGCAAUCGUCAAUCUCACACCUCAUCUUGUCUGCAAUCGUCAAUCUCCACCAUCUCCGUCCCUCCUCCGUCGGCCUCCAGUCCACCGCAAUCAUCGUUUCAUCGGAGACCCCAAUUGCAGCCACUACCACCGUUCGCAGCCAUUACGACCGCUCGCAACAACCACCACCAUGCUGUUGGUGAUGGCGAAGAAGAGAGUAACGAGACACAGGAGCUUUCUAGGAGGACAGAGAAUGUCGAUAGAAAUCGAACCAAGUGACUUGGCAUCAAAGAAGAAGAAAAAGACCCAAUCCACAUGAUAUAUCUCCCUAUACUGUGUUCAUGAGUUUGCUUGUUUGUUUUUUUUUUCUUUUGAACUUGUAGUUACUCAUGUCUUUCAUGGUCAUGGUUAAAUUUGAUUAGAAUCUUUGAUCUACUUUUUCUAGUUUAAAGAACUUUGAUAAGAAUUUUGAUAAAAGGCAGUGAUUGUAUUGGUUGUUAGGUAGGUAAAUCAUGGUUGGAUUGUCGCUGUUCUGGACAGUUGCGGACCAGGUCCAAGAUUG